RNAcentral lists this ribosomal RNA (253 nucleotides) under uncultured bacterium. RNAcentral's name for it is "partial 16S ribosomal RNA". It matches the Rfam family "Bacterial small subunit ribosomal RNA", at positions 524 to 776 of the family's 1533-position model. The record is from RNAcentral.
AACGUAGGUGGCAAGCGUUAUCCGGAAUUACUGGGCGUAAAGAGCGCGCAGGCGGUCGUUCAAGUCGAGUGUGAAAGCCCCCGGCUCAACUGGGGAGGGUCAUUCGAUACUGAUCGACUUGAAGGCAGGAGAGGGAAGUGGAAUUCCCGGUGUAGAGGUGAAAUUCGUAGAUAUCGGGAGGAACACCGGUGGCGAAGGCGGCGACCUGGGUCGAUACUGACGCUGAGGUGCGAAAGCGUGGGGAGCAAACAGG